Molecule: ribosomal RNA, 467 nt
Filed under: uncultured bacterium
Lineage: Bacteria
Description: partial 16S ribosomal RNA
Rfam family: Bacterial small subunit ribosomal RNA
Source: RNAcentral
GAUGAACGCUGGCGGCGUGCUUAACACAUGCAAGUCGAACGGUGAAGGCGGAGCUUGCUCUGCUGGAUCAGUGGCGAACGGGUGAGUAACACGUGAGCAAUCUGCCCCUGACUCUGGGAUAAGCGCUGGAAACGGCGUCUAAUACUGGAUACGAGCUGCGAAGGCAUCUUCAGCAGCUGGAAAGAAUUUCGGUCAGGGAUGAGCUCGCGGCCUAUCAGCUUGUUGGUUGGGUAAUGGCUCACCAAGGCGUCGACGGGUAGCCGGCUUGGAAGGGUGACCGGCCAGACUGGAACUGAGAAACGCCCCGCCCUCCUCCGGAGGGCAGCGGGGGGAAUAUUGCACAAUGGGCGAAAGCCUGAUGCAGCAACGCCGCGUGAGGGACGACGGCCUUCGGGUUGUAAACCUCUUUUAGCAGGGAAGAAGCGAAAGUGACGGUACCUGCAGAAAAAGCGCCGGCUAACUACGUG